UUGAACGCUGGCGGAAUGCUUUACACAUGCAAGUCGAGCGGCAGCGCGGGGGCAACCCUGGCGGCGAGCGGCGAACGGGUGAGUAAUACAUCGGAACGUACCCAGUUGUGGGGGAUAGCCCGGCGAAAGCUGGAUUAAUACCGCAUAAGUCCUGAGGGAGAAAGCGGGGGACCGUAAGGCCUCGCGCGAUUGGAGCGGCCGAUGUUCGAUUAGCUAGUUGGUGGGGUAAAGGCCCACCAAGGCGACGAUCCGUAGCGGGUCUGAGAGGACGACCCGCCACACUGGAACUGAGACACGGUCCAGACUCCUACGGGAGGCAGCAGUGGGGAAUUUUGGACAAUGGGGGCAACCCUGAUCCAGCCAUUCCGCGUGAGUGAAGAAGGCCUUCGGGUUGUAAAGCUCUUUCAGCAGGAGCGAAACGGUCGUUUUUAAUACAGACGGCUAAUGACGGUACCUGCAGAAGAAGCACCGGCUAACUACGU
This 482-nucleotide ribosomal RNA is filed under the name uncultured bacterium. Its description in RNAcentral is "bacterial SSU rRNA". It matches the Rfam family "Bacterial small subunit ribosomal RNA", at positions 29 to 506 of the family's 1533-position model. The record is from RNAcentral.